This 442-nucleotide ribosomal RNA is filed under the name uncultured bacterium. Its description in RNAcentral is "partial 16S ribosomal RNA". It matches the Rfam family "Bacterial small subunit ribosomal RNA", at positions 339 to 795 of the family's 1533-position model. The record is from RNAcentral.
CUACGGGUGGCUCCAGUGGGGAAUAUUGGGCAAUGGGGGAAACCCUGACCCAGCAACGCCGCGUGAAGGAAGAAGGCUUUCGGGUUGUAAACUUCUUUGACCAGGGACGAAACAAAUGACGGUACCUGGAAAACAAGCCACGGCUAACUACGUGCCAGCAGCCGCGGUAAUACGUAGGUGGCAAGCGUUGUCCGGAUUUACUGGGUGUAAAGGGCGCGUAGGCGGGACUGCAAGUCAGAUGUGAAAUCUGGGGGCUUAACCCUCAAACUGCAUUUGAAACUGUGGUUCUUGAGUGAUGGAGAGGCAGGCGGAAUUCCUAGUGUAGCGGUGAAAUGCGUAGAUAUUAGGAGGAACACCAGUGGCGAAGGCGGCCUGCUGGACAUUAACUGACGCUGAGGCGCGAAAGCGUGGGGAGCAAACAGGAUUAGAUACCCUUGUAGUC